CCUUUAGUUUCCUUCCCGCUCAGCACAGUUCUCCUCUGCUUGUUCAGAGCCAGAGCCAAUGGAGGCGGAGACUGGGAAUCAGCAUAGUCUCCGUGCAGUGCACAGAGGCACUGUCUGGAGGUGCCGACCUUGAGAACAGAACUUUGUCCCUCUUGGGUCCCUGUAAUGCAGGGCACACCUGGGACCUAUUUGGGACUUUGCAGGGACAGCUGCCGGUACCUGACAGGCCCGGAGCCUCCGGAUCAUCUGCAGGCCCAUUUGGAUGGCCCUGUUGGGGAGAGGCAGGAGGUGCAGCUGGAGGAGGUAGAGGAAGGACAGACAGCUCGUCUGCACGGAAGGAGGCAGCGCGGAUGUUUGCAGCGACAGAUGGCAGCAUCCGGCAGAGCCCUGGAAGCCGGGUGAGGAGAGGAGGGGAGGCCGGCCAGACUCCUCUGCAGCUCUCAGGCCUCCCGCACAAGCUCAGCCUGCCUGGCACACACGUGGAGAUUCUCCCCUCCCUGUGUGGCGCUAAGGCACCUUGGUGAGCUCCUCAUGGUCCACAUGGGCUGCGAGUGUGUGGGAUGGCCUGGGGCGACUGGAGAAGUCUGUUCACCUGGCCCUUUGGGAGCCAAGUGGAGGAGGCUCCAGAUCAGCCCCAGAAACCCUGUUCGCUGUUCUCAGUGAGGGCGUCUGCCACGAGACUGGGGCCAGAGGGGCCAUGUAGGGAUGAGGAGUGGCGGUGACUGGGAGGUGAGGAUGGCCAGAAAGUGCUAGUCUCCCAUCAUCCCUCUGUCUUGGUGAACUCCGCUGUAUCUUAGAAUCCUGCUUGACCCGGCUCUUCAGGAAGCUGCCCUGGCAGGCCGGGCUGAGCCUGAAGAUGCCUGGCCUGGCUCUGUGGCCUCUGUGAGCCCCGGCCCCUCCUGGCCUCAGUUCUAGCUGGAGGAAACAGGACUCCCUCCUCAUCCUGGGAAGGCGGUCUCUUCCUCUCAGCGGGACUUUGAAGAGGCCGUGAAGAACCCACAGGGCCCUGCAGCAGUGGAACCAGACACCCAGAUUCACCACCCUGGAGUCGUUCCCAGCCUAGCACAGAGCCUGGGAAACAGAUGGAGAAAGCGUAGGGUGGGAGGGCCCAACAUCCUGGGCGGCUGGGGAAAUGACAGCAGCCGGGAUCCCAGCACUUAGCAUGGGUCAGUUAACAAUGCAUCCGGCCCCACCCAGCCUGUGAGGAGCCCCUUCUGUUCCUCACGCUCACACACCUGAAACUGACUCUCUGCUGGGCUCACUUGUCCACACUGCUGCUACUACCACCGCCACAGGGCCAGGAUUAGACCCCAGACAACCUGGACCGGAAGUCCACACUCCCAUCCACGGAACUACAAAACAAAAUGAAAACCAUCUCUCCCUCUGGCAGGGAUGACGGAUAAUAGGUUUGAUGCCAUCAAGUGCUGCUGAGGUCACCUCACCACCACCACCACCACGGGGAGCCCACGUCUGAUUACCUAGGGAGCCCCAAGAGUUCGGGUCAGAGUGGAGCGAACAGCUCUUUCAUCUCAUCUGCGUUUAGGUUGCCAUGCAGGAAAGAGUCGUGCAUUGCUUUGGUUUGUAACUCAUUUAAAAGGAGAAUGGGGGCAGUGAUACAGGGACAGCAUGUGCGAGGCCCGAGUUGCAUCCUUAGCCCAUCCCCCAAACAGAUGGGGGAGUAUGUUGGGGAAAGGGAAUCAAAGAUGGACAGAAUGGAAGGCUCUCAGACAGUUGUCCCUGACCGUGACCUCCUGCAGGCUUUGUCUGGGCGAGGCCUGUUCUUUUAUUGGGCACAUAUGUAUUUUCUGGGGGCCCCUAGGUCCUCGGCUCUGUGCCGGGCUGUGUGCUCUCCCCAGGCACACCCAGGGUGUGUCCCGACAGAGGGGCUCCCCUUCUGUCCCUGUCUGGGCGCUCUGUGGUAACAAGGUCAGGGCUGCAGGGAGGAGCCAGUUCUGGCCAGAGCUCUGAUCUGUGACGGGCUGUUCCCCGGAGCAGCUGCUACAACAACAUUUACUUUGUACAGUGGCCAAGAGAGAGAGCAAGAAAAGGAAGAGAGAGAGAGAGAGAGAGAGAGAGAGAGAGAGAGAGAGAGAGAGAGACAGAGGGAGAGAGCACACAAGCCUACUCUAUUGCAAAAUGUUUCUGACAAAAUCUGGCACUCCUGGUUCUAAUCAAAAUACUGAACUUUGGAACAAAUUAACAUUCCACAGCCCUCACUGGGAAGGAGAAUUCAGCCGAGACGACUUCAGUUCACAACAACAAAAAUAGCUUCUCCCGGGGAAGACACAUUCUGCUAACAAGGUCACUUGUGUUUUGCUUCCCCUGCCAUCUGGCUGAGCGGCAACCAGGGGCUGGCACUGGUACCAGCGUCUUGUGUGGAGAGGGGCUGGGAACCGGGUGGUGCCGCUGAAGGCUUCUCAGCCUCCUGGCAAAGGGUGUAGGCGUGGAGUUACCUUCAGACAGUCCCAGAACUGGGGCAGAUGGAGCCCAGUCUCACCCAGCCGGGCUCAGCUUCGAGCUCCGAGCAGCAGGAGGUGUGACACCAGCACACAGCAACAAGCAGAUCUGGAGGCCAGAAGUGUGAAAUCAAGAUGUUGUCAGGGCUCUGUUCCUUCUGAGACCUUCUGAGACCUUCUUUGCCUCCUCCCAUUUUCUGGCACACCAGUCAUAUUGGAUUAAAGGCCCAAGACUCCAUUCUGACCUCAUCUUGGCUAAUUGCAUCUCCAUGACCCUAUUUCCAAAUAAGGUCACAAUCUCAGGAUGUGGAGCAGCACCCCAACCUUUAUCAAACAGAUGCUUCUAGCAUUGCUUAAUUCAGUUGCGACAACCAAAAAAUGUUAGUGUCUCCUGGUGUGUGUGUGUGGCAAAAUUACCCCUAGUUGAGAAGAAUGAGAAUAUUCAUUUAGGGGUUGGAAAUCUUAAAGUUGUAAAAAUCAUCCAAAUUUCUCUUUAUCUUGCUUUCUGUUAAAUACUUUCCUGUGUUGUAAGGCUGCUCUGCUCUGAGACCACUGGCACCGUGAGCAGAUGGCAUGACUUGGCUGUCCCCUGCUCCUGCCUCCGUGCACCUGGGACCUGUGGGUGGCCUCGUUUGCAUGGAGGAAAAAGAUAAUAUCCCUAUUUAUUACAAAGACUCAGGCAUUUGAAGGACCCAACCAAUGGUGUGACAUGUGUGGGCACAUGAACUUCACCUUGGAUGCCCCAGAAGUUUCUAGAGCUGACUUCCUUUAACUAGAAGGAAUAUGACUGUGGUCUUAGAAGAAAGACAUUACCUGGAGGAAGUUGAAAGCCAGCAUGCAGAGAAGGAAGACUACGGAAGGGCUCAGGCAGCUACACAGCUCUGCAGAACAAAAUGUUCUUGUCCAGGCCAUGGGGCCACAGGCUGGGACAGAGGGGAGGAACAAUGAUGUCAUGGAAUGAGAAGGAGUUGGGAACACUAUUGGAAUGAAUGUUCCAUUGAUUACACGAGUUGCUGACAAGCAACAGCAGAAAUGGAGCUGGGUGAUCAGUCUCAAAUUCUCCCCCUGACAUUUGCAAGAAAAGUGGUGAACACAUCCCAGACACCCACUUCCUACCCCCGUUAUGUGUAUGAGUGACGCCUGGUGUGUUUGCAACCCAAUAAUACCAGCUACCAAUUGCUUGCUGUGCACCAAGCUCUGUGGAUUGAAUUCUCACAAAUCAUAGUGUUUUAGUUGACUGAACUUCAUUUGAAUAAGUGGAUUUCGGGGAAUAUGUCUGCUGAGAUACUAAACCUUGAUUGCACUGCAGUGCUGGGAUGGAACCGAGGGCCUCGUGCACAAUGGACAAGUGCUUGACCACGGAGCUCCACCUCAGUCCUUUACUGAGCCUUAGACUUUAUCUUCAUGUGCUCUCUAGACAACUCCUGUGUUAACAUUUGAGGCUUGUAUAGGCCAAGCAUCCCUAAUCUGGAAAUCAAAAGUGCUCCAAAAUCCAAAACUUUCUGAGCACUGACAUGCUGCCAUAGUGGAAGUUCAGUUCCUUGUGGCUACGGAACAGAGACCCUGUGUCGUUGCUGGCUGCUCCCCGCUCCGGGCGGCUGCCCACACUCCUUGUCACACAGUUCCUUCUGCCUUCCAGCCAGCGAUGGCACAUGGGCUCCUCGUUCUCAGAAGCUCUGACUUUUCUGUUGCUGACUUUAGAAGCCUUCAAGGGUGGUCCUGCCAAUCCCUGCCACAGCAGCAGCCGUGUUAGUGUGGUUGUAUGUACAGCCCGGGGCAGGAACUCUCACAGGCAGGCUUAGAAGUCUGCCUCCCGCAAGGCUUUUGACCUAAGUGUUAGACCAGGUCUUUUGCUGACCCUGACUUCAAAAUGUUUGAAUGCACAGUUGUGCAAGGAGUUCCCAUAUUGUGGCUGACAUUGAAGAAGAGUUGUUUAAGGUGCGACAUUCUGCAGAUCUAUGGGUACUGCCUACACUGCCUCGUGCUGUUGAUUACUGCAUUGAUGGCUUCAGAAGCUCUCCACGUGUUGAUCAAGACCUUGUUGAACCUUGACAGAGUGAUAAAUUGCAUGCUUGUUUCCCCUCAUGAUUUCGUGGCUCUUUUGAAAGACUACCCCCUUGAUGUGCCCAGGAAAAUUUCCUUUGAUGUGCUAAGUCUGGACAGUUGAGCUUUUAAGGAAUCUAAAGCAGAGAAAAUGAGUACCUGCCCAUCCUGAUGCAGGCUGGCCUCUGUGUUUUCUGCUUGUGGUGAACCUGGGCUGCAAAAAUGGUUUUUAUUCUCAGCCAUCUGGUUCCUCUCACCUGUCAAAUAGCCCAGCUCUCAGAUUCUGACACAAGAAUAAAUUGCCCCCUUGUUAUGUUAAGUAAAAGAAACUAAAGUGUGAAGGAAAACGCCUUUGAAAGAGAGGCCAAGGAAGGAGUUCCUAUUGCCAAGAUUGGUCAAAAGUGGCUGGAAAUCUCUCUCUUUCAAUGCAGCGGGUUUUGACUGGUAUAAAACAGCAUUUUCCAGCAUGUGUCUCUGGGAAACCAGUUUUAUCUGAUGAGUAAUGGGUGUGAGGAGGAAAAGAUUCUCCCGUCACACAGGUUCACCAUGCUACCUCCGUAUCAAUCUCCUGAGGUGAAAUACGAUUGGCUGUGAUCUACAAACCCAUGUAGGGGCUGAUGCUCCUCUGGUUUCCUGUGAAAGAAAUAUUUACAAGAUAAGGGAUCCAAGGAGCACACUUCAGGAAGGGCAGCGUUGAAGGAUAGCUAUGACUUUGAGAAAGUAGGCAUGGGCAGUUGGCGAAUCUGUGUCGCCAAUCCACAGAUGAACCCGUCUCCACAUUUGAGGAGGAACAGAGUCGGAUUGUAGAUGCACACUUGGUGUGUCUUAAAUAUUUCUCAGUAAAAUUAUUUCUUACACUCUUUAUUGACUAUUGAUAUCAUUCUCAGUUUGAGGGUCCCCAAAGUAACCUCAGAGCCUUCAGUAAUAAUUUUCUAUCUAGAGAAUGGUGAAGAGAAUGAAAUGAAUAUUUUGAUUAUGACAUGGGUGCUUUUGGUAUCUUUAUCCUAUUUAAAUUUUGCAAUAACCCUG
This 5528-nucleotide long non-coding RNA is filed under the name Heterocephalus glaber (naked mole-rat). RNAcentral describes it as "lncRNA (ENSHGLG00000038004.1)". The record is from RNAcentral. Lineage: Eukaryota; Metazoa; Chordata; Mammalia; Rodentia; Bathyergidae.